ACUUAAAUAGAAUGAAAGAUAUGAUUAAAAUAAAUUGGAUAGAGUCAGGUAAGAAUAGUAGUAGGCAUAAGGUUCAAAUAAAGCAUAGUAUAUUUAUAAAUACAUUUUAUAAUUCUUUAUUUCAAAUCCAUUAAGGGUGAUAUAAAUUUAUUCGUCCGGGAUUUAUUUGACUCGCGCUGUUAUAAAGCGUAGGGAAAUAACUGGUGAUUGGUCACCAUGGGCCAAUCAGGAGCUCGUAUUGUGAACUGCUGACCCGACCUUGAAAGUUGUAAACAACAACACACAUGUGUAAUGGCUGCGCCCAUGAAAGAACGUGAAUCGACUGAUAUUUCAUCAAAUUUACGCUGUAUUAUUCAUUACCAAGGAUUUAGAAAGGAACGAGAACAAUUAUUUACAAAAUCUCGCUGGGAUAAAUUCCGUGAAUGUGCCCAUGAAUGGCUAAAACUUGAUGGGCGAGCGAAAUGGAUAGCUGAACAGGCGACAUCGGGUGAUAUAAUCAAACAAGGAACUUAUCGACGCGCCAAAAGAUACUGGAUUUCACCCAACAUGCUACAGGCCUUUUACAGACAAAUUCCGAAUUGGGUCUGCCCGUAAUCGUAUAGAUAAAGAAAAAUUAAAAUCCCCGGCUACAAUCCAACCAGGGAAUAGCGGGAGUGUAGACGAUCUGGGACCUAGCUCUCCAAACAAAUUACGCUCCUGAAGCAAAAAGAAAGAGUAAAUCGGUGCUGCCUGUUGUGUGUAUUAUAUGUAAAAAACGUGACAGAUUUGUCACUGUUGGAGAAAAUAGGAAGAAGGAUGUAUUAACACAGACUCAGACCCAAACAGGCUCAGGCCAACUGUUGAAAGCUGCUGAAUUGAAAGGCAUAUCAGAGGGCAAGAUUGUGUGGCCAUUGAGGUCAGAUAUCACCAAAAAUGUUAUAGGCAAUAUACAUGUACUGAAUUUCUUAGACAGUUAUCAGAAAGCAAAGAUGACUAGCCCUCCGUCGAAUAUUAAACCACAUACAAUAUAUUCUGUGAAGAUGUCAUAAGAGAAAGAAUCAUAAAUGGCCAGCAAAGUUGUCUUGUACAGAGAGAGAGAGAGAGAAAUGGGGUUUAACGUCCACUCAACACAAACUAGGUCAUUUUGGGACUAACAUACGGUUUCAAUUUUAUUUCAAUAAUUCGCUUGCGCAUAUGGGUCUUUAGCAGUGAGAGGAAACCGGAGUGCCCGGAGGAAACCCACGAGGUUGAGAAGACGCCUCUAUCUCCAUGCCACAUACGCUCACACCUGGGAUCAAAGCCACAGCCACAAGCCAGAGGUGACCGACCAGCUAGAGGUCGAAGCGCGGCACUCUAGGCCAUCCCAACCCCCCUUUCUUGUACAGACCUGUGCAUGUGUAGUCAAUGUGAAAAUGAAAAAAAAACUGUUAAAGAGACCGAAUUUGAUGUUAAUACAUUUAGUGACAGUGAUGAUGAUAAUGAAGAUUAACUUUGAUGACAUUUGAUGUGCAGAGUAACUGUUUAAUUUUGAUUUUCAAUGAUUGUUUCACUUUAAUAAAUAAUUUCACAACUGUUCAUC
Molecule: long non-coding RNA, 1558 nt
Organism: Patella vulgata (common limpet)
Lineage: Eukaryota; Metazoa; Mollusca; Gastropoda; Patellidae
Exons: 3
Source: RefSeq, a predicted model, not a curated record